AGGGAAUCUUCCACAAUGGACGCAAGUCUGAUGGAGCAACGCCGCGUGAGUGAAGAAGGUUUUCGGACCGUAAAGCUCUGUUGUUGGUGAAGAAGGAUAGAGGUAGUAACUGGCCUUUAUUUGACGGUAAUCAACCAGAAAGUCACGGCUAACUACGUGCCAGCAGCCGCGGUAAUACGUAGGUGGCAAGCGUUGUCCGGAUUUAUUGGGCGUAAAGCGAGCGCAGGCGGAAGAAUAAGUCUGAUGUGAAAGCCCUCGGCUUAACCGAGGAAUUGCAUCGGAAACUGUUUUCUUGAGUGCAGAAGAGGAGAGUAGAACUCCAUGUGUAGCGGUGGAAUGCGUAGAUAUAUGGAAGAAUACCAGUGGCGAAGGCGGCUCUCUGGUCUGCAACUGACGCUGAGGCUCGAAAGCAUGGGUAGCGAACAGGAUUAGAUACCCUUGGUAGUCCAUGCCGUAAACGAUGAGUGCUAAGUGU
This 475-nucleotide ribosomal RNA is filed under the name uncultured bacterium. Its description in RNAcentral is "partial 16S ribosomal RNA". It matches the Rfam family "Bacterial small subunit ribosomal RNA", at positions 356 to 823 of the family's 1533-position model. The record is from RNAcentral.